Molecule: ribosomal RNA, 254 nt
Filed under: uncultured bacterium
Lineage: Bacteria
Description: partial 16S ribosomal RNA
Rfam family: Bacterial small subunit ribosomal RNA
Source: RNAcentral
GACGUAGGGCGCGAGCGUUGUCCGGAUUUAUUGGGCGUAAAGAGCUCGUAGGCGGCUUGUCGCGUCGACUGUGAAAACCCGUGGCUCAACCAUGCGGUCUGCAGUCGAUACGGGCAGGCUAGAAUUCGGUAGGGGAGACUGGAAUUCCUGGUGUAGCGGUGAAAUGCGCAGAUAUCAGGAGGAACACCGGUGGCGAAGGCGGGUCUCUGGGCAGUAACUGACGCUGAGGAGCGAAAGCGUGGGGAGCGAACAGG